GACGGGGAGCACCACAACGGUGGAGCUUGUCGGUUUAAUUGGAUUCAACGCCGGAAUCUACCGGACCGACAGCAAUAUGAAGGCCAGGCUGAAGACUUUGCCGGAUUAGCUGAGAGGUGGUGCAUGGCCGUCGUCAGUUCGUACUGUGAAGCAUCCUGUUAAGUCAGGCAACGAGCGAGACCCACGCCCACAGUUGCCAGCGUACUCUCCGGAGUGACGGGUACACUGUGGGACCGCCGCUGCUAAAGCGGAGGAAGGAAUGGGCAACGGUAGGUCAGUAUGCCCCGAAUAUCCCGGGCUACACGCGAGCUACAAUGGUUGGUACAAUGGGUAUCUACCCGAAAGGGGACGGGAAUCUCCUAAAACCAAUCUUAGUUCGGAUUGAGGGCUGCAACUCGCCCUCAUGAAGCUGGAAUCCGUAGUAAUCGCGUUUCAACAGAACGCGGUGAAUACGUCCCUGCUCCUU
RNAcentral lists this ribosomal RNA (466 nucleotides) under uncultured Methanosaeta sp. RNAcentral describes it as "bacterial SSU rRNA". It matches the Rfam family "Archaeal small subunit ribosomal RNA", at positions 871 to 1337 of the family's 1478-position model. The record is from RNAcentral. Lineage: Archaea; Methanobacteriati; Methanobacteriota; Methanomicrobia; Methanotrichales; Methanotrichaceae.